Long non-coding RNA from Rhododendron vialii, 576 nucleotides. RefSeq lists it as uncharacterized. The transcript has 2 exons. NCBI's taxonomy places the organism in Eukaryota, Viridiplantae, Streptophyta, Magnoliopsida, Ericales, Ericaceae. The record is from RefSeq and is a predicted model, not a curated record.
UUAAAUGUCCUGCUACCUUCAAUAUCACGAGUUGUUAGUAGACUAUCCACUCAAUUCAGGUCCAUCAGGCUGCCCUCAAGGUCCUGCUAGGCUACCCUCAAUACCUGAGGUCCUGCCAGGCUACCCCUGAGGUCCUGCUUGGCCACCCUCACAAUUCUAGGUCCAUCAGGCUGCCCUCAAGGUCCUGCUAGGCUACCCUCAAUACCUGAGGUCCUGUCAGGCUACCCCUGAGGUCCUGCUUGGCCACCUUAGCUACACCGGGUCUUUCAGGCUACCCUCAAGGUCCUGCCAGGCUACCCUCAAUACCAGAGGUCCUGCUAGUCUACCCCUGAGGUCCUGCUAAGCCCACAACUUUCAUCUAUUUUUCCUUUUUCAUUAACCAUAACAACGUCUACAUAAUUUCUCAUUGAAAUCCACCACGCGAACCCAAGUCCGAUCCAACAAAUACAACAAUCAUGAAUCCAUAAUAACGUAAUCAAUAAACAUGAUACGUUUCUACGUGAAAGCCAACAUAACAAUUGAUAUUGUGCAAAUAAGUAAAACAUAUAGCGUUUUAUGAUUGGGCCGAUGCCCUUA